RNAcentral lists this ribosomal RNA (564 nucleotides) under Staphylococcus aureus. RNAcentral describes it as "partial 23S ribosomal RNA". It matches the Rfam family "Bacterial large subunit ribosomal RNA", at positions 1333 to 1892 of the family's 2925-position model. Lineage: Bacteria; Bacillati; Bacillota; Bacilli; Caryophanales; Staphylococcaceae. The record is from RNAcentral.
UCCACCGAUUGACUAAGGUUUCCAGAGGAAGGCUCGUCCGCUCUGGGUUAGUCGGGUCCUAAGCUGAGGCCGACAGGCGUAGGCGAUGGAUAACAGGUUGAUAUUCCUGUACCACCUAUAAUCGUUUUAAUCGAUGGGGGGACGCAGUAGGAUAGGCGAAGCGUGCGAUUGGAUUGCACGUCUAAGCAGUAAGGCUGAGUAUUAGGCAAAUCCGGUACUCGUUAAGGCUGAGCUGUGAUGGGGAGAAGACAUUGUGUCUUCGAGUCGUUGAUUUCACACUGCCGAGAAAAGCCUCUAGAUAGAAAAUAGGUGCCCGUACCGCAAACCGACACAGGUAGUCAAGAUGAGAAUUCUAAGGUGAGCGAGCGAACUCUCGUUAAGGAACUCGGCAAAAUGACCCCGUAACUUCGGGAGAAGGGGUGCUCUUUAGGGUUAACGCCCAGAAGAGCCGCAGUGAAUAGGCCCAAGCGACUGUUUAUCAAAAACACAGGUCUCUGCUAAACCGUAAGGUGAUGUAUAGGGGCUGACGCCUGCCCGGUGCUGGAAGGUUAAGAGGAGUGGUUA